Long non-coding RNA from Lineus longissimus, 719 nucleotides. RefSeq lists it as uncharacterized. The transcript is spliced from 3 exons. The record is from RefSeq and is a predicted model, not a curated record. NCBI's taxonomy places the organism in Eukaryota, Metazoa, Nemertea, Pilidiophora, Heteronemertea, Lineidae.
AGUCAGUUAUGGUGUGUGAGUGAACUGCGAAGGACAUCGCAGGAACACUUUCUCCGAUUUCAAACGUAAAAAUGCCUUCAAUAUUUGAGGAAUCAAGUCAAAACUGCUGCAGCCGAAGCAAUAGACCAACUUGCCUUCCCGCGACUGACCCCGGUAUCCUCUCAUCGAUGUCGACAAGCCAACCGUCCUACUCCUACCGACAUAUGGGACUCCUACCGACUUAUGGGACAGCAAUAGACCAACUUGCCUUCCCGCGACUGAUCCCGGCACCCUCCCAUCGAUGUCGACAAGCCAACCGUCCUACUCCUACCGACAUGGACAUAACAGAACCUUCACCAAGAUGAAGAAUACUAGUAACUCGGCGUACAUGAAUUGAUGACUCGGGAUAGGUGUAAUAGUAAAUGCCCUCAGGAUAGAUUGUUCCGGGGACGAAUGAUAUCAUUAUUCAUAAUGUCUGAGGUAUUGACGGUCAUUGGUCUCAGUUUAACAAUACCUCAACCCAAAACAAACCGGGGAAGGACACUGUUGCUAGUGGGACAUUCCAAACUGCUACACUGAUACGAUUCCCGCCAAACCUGAGCGCCACCUGCAUGCUCCCGCAUGAAGUCCACACAGGGCUUCUUGAUGGAAAUAUCUUUUUGUUAAACCUCCAUCGCAUUAGUGAUUUUUAUUCAUUGACUGAUCAAGAUACCAACAUGUUAGUAAGUUUAAAAUAUCAA